Molecule: small nucleolar RNA, 107 nt
Filed under: Gossypium arboreum
Lineage: Eukaryota; Viridiplantae; Streptophyta; Magnoliopsida; Malvales; Malvaceae
Description: Plant small nucleolar RNA R71
Rfam family: Plant small nucleolar RNA R71
About the family: R71 is a member of the C/D box family of snoRNAs containing the C (UGAUGA) and D (CUGA) box motifs.
Source: Rfam by way of RNAcentral
AACCAAUGGUGAGGUCACCUUCUUAACAAAUCCUUGUAUCUCUCCCAUGCAUCGUAGAGUGUUUCUAAAUCCAUCUGCACAAAAGAGGAGAUAUCAUUAUGUAAUUU